This 460-nucleotide ribosomal RNA is filed under the name uncultured bacterium. Its description in RNAcentral is "partial 16S ribosomal RNA". It matches the Rfam family "Bacterial small subunit ribosomal RNA", at positions 28 to 507 of the family's 1533-position model. The record is from RNAcentral.
GACGAACGCUGGCGGCGUGCUUAACACAUGCAAGUCGAGCGGUAAGGCCUCUUCGGGGGUACACGAGCGGCGAACGGGUGAGUAACACGUGGGUGACCUGCCCUCAGCUCUGGGAUAAGCCUGGGAAACUGGGUCUAAUACCGGAUAUGACCUUUCCUCGCAUGGGGUUUGGUGGAAAGUUUUUUCGGCUGGGGGUGGGCCCGCGGCCUAUCAGCUUGUUGGUGGGGUGAUGGCCUACCAAGGCGACGACGGGUAGCCGGCCUGAGAGGGCGACCGGCCACACUGGGACUGAGACACGGCCCAGACUCCUACGGGAGGCAGCAGUGGGGAAUAUUGCGCAAUGGGCGGAAGCCUGACGCAGCGACGCCGCGUGGGGGAUGACGGCCUUCGGGUUGUAAACCUCUUUCGACCCCGACGAAUUUGGACGGUAGGGGUAGAAGAAGCACCGGCCAACUACGUG